RNAcentral lists this long non-coding RNA (2281 nucleotides) under Homo sapiens (human). RNAcentral describes it as "HSALNT0092115". The record is from RNAcentral. Lineage: Eukaryota; Metazoa; Chordata; Mammalia; Primates; Hominidae.
CAGAGAGGGAGAGGCCAGAAGUCUGACUGACCAAGUUCCUUUCAUUCUGAUUGCAACAUUCCUGCUGAAGCUCUUGUUCCUCUACAAACUAAUAGAAUGAGAUGGGAGAUGUCAGGAGGAUUGAAUAUUUAUCCUGGACUCAUCUGACCUUUGCUCACAUAUUGUGUCACAUGUUAACCAAAAUGACCUCAGAAUCUCCUUGGCAGCCGCUUCAGAAAAGAGGACUCGCUUGUCUGGCCUUGAAUUUCAAAUGUGUUUUCUAUAAGCACAAGGUGUCUUUCCAGUUCUGUUGUGCAGCCGUGCAGGCGAUCAUGUGCUUCCUCUUCUGGAAGUCAGGGCUGGCUGUUUAAAACAAGCCCUACCCUUCCAUUAGUAUUUCUUUACUAAAUAAUUGGUUUGUUGAAAUAAGCCACUUUUCCCUUCAACUUUUUGUUGUUGCUGCUGUUCUUAAUUUUUACCAUGCUUUGACAAAUGUCACAAACAUUUUUUACACAGAGCAUAUCAGGUUAUCAUAACAUUUAUAGUCUUAUGUAGAAAGUAGAAUCUAGGAGGUCACAUUUAAUUUGAGCAUAUGUAUUUAGAUUGUUAGGGAAGAAAGUCAUAUGCACUUUCCUUUUAGGAUAAUUAUCUUUAGCUAUACAUUUUAUUUUGUAAUUUUUAAGGGCUACCUAGCUCAAGGAUAUGUCUACAAGUAGUUAAUUAUGAGUUAAUGUUCUUCCCCAUGCAGAUUGAAUAAAUAACUAUACUUUUCCAUAACUUACAAUAACUGUAUGUGCUAGAUAAUUUUUUAAAUGUGAUGGUUAUUCAAUUCAUUUUGAACUCAGGAAUCAAAUUUUUAGGACUUAAUCUUGCAGCUCUGAGUAGCACUAGAGAGUGUAGCUGAAAUAGAGGGUAGAUUCUAGUCAUUUUGUAAGAGUAUGCUAUUUGGAAGAGAAAUUUAAAAUUUUAAAUACACACAUAAAAUAUUUAUUUUAUCUACUUAAAGAGAAAUGCAAUAGAAAAAUAUUAGAAAUAAUUAUUACGUAUACAUCACUAUUAAAAUUCAUAAAUAUUACUUUACAUGUUUUCUUCUAAAUCUUAUUUUUGUUCCAAAGAGAGUACUGCAAUUUACUUAACCAUGUUAUCAAUAUAUGGUAUUUAGGUUCUUCCUGAUACUAUUCCUAUUUUAAAUAAUCUUAGGCAAAUAUCGUCAUUCAUAAAUUAUUUUCCUUCUUUGGACUUUUAUAAGAUAAAUCAUCAAAAAAAGGAUUAACAGAUUAAUUGUAUAAACAUUUAAAAAAGUUUUAUAACAUUGUUUCUCCUUAACAUUGCAUUAACCUCUAAUAAUAUCUUUAAUAAGUGUUCAUUACAGAAAAAUUGGAAAAAAAUAUAAACAAUAGAAAGAAUAUGAAAGUGAUUACCACCUAGUGGUAAGUACUCAUAAUGUUUUAAGGUAAGUUUAUAAAUACAUUUAAUGCUUUUGAAACAUAUUGUCAAAACUCUUGCAUAAAUACUUCUAAAAUUUGCAUCAUUACUAAUUGAAAACUAAGCUAAAUGUUUAUUUGCAUUGGGGACUGUCAUUAUUUUUGACUUUUGUUAAUUUAAAGUUGAAGCGUGGUGUCCAUUAAGAUACCUUUAAAAACACAUUUUUUUCUUAAUUACUUUUAACUCUUUGAUUGUUUCCUCCUUAACUGUGUGACUAAUUUUUAGUUCCCAGAAUAAAAUGGUCUUGGCCUAAAUUCUAAAGUUUUCAAAUUAAGAAAAUUUGCUUUUGUACUUAUUUAAAGUUGUUUAGAUUGAAUGUGCCUUAGUUAUUUUGACGUUAUUCCUAAUGAUCUGUAAAGAAUUGCCCAGGGAAAUAUAAUAGUGCUUAUUUUCAGAAAUAAGGAACUGUAGUGAGUAAAAGAAAAAUGUCAGUGAAGUGUUACUCUCCUAUGAAGAUGUAAAUCAUAACUAUCUAAUAAUGAGGAAUCUUCUAGUAAGGGGUUAUGAGGUCAGCUUUCGUAGCUUCAUUAGGAUGAGUUAAAAUGGAAACAACUUAAAUGUUUAAAAAAAUGUUUGUCUAUAACUAUAUCUAAAACAAAUGUGCAUACUAUAUACAUUUUUCUUAUUUUAAACUCAGGAGAACUCUGAAUUAUUUAGAUGAGCAAUACAUUUUUUCUUUUGUUUUUAGCUAAAACUUUUAUGCUUGUAAACCCAUUUAUCCUAUCUUUGAUGAUUCUGAUAGAACAUAAGCAUAAUGGAAAUGUGUCUGAAAGCUGCAUAGGAACAACUAGCCCCUGCCCUCAAAAAAAAAUUAAUG